This is a non-coding RNA of Plutella xylostella (diamondback moth), 4958 nucleotides long. Lineage: Eukaryota; Metazoa; Arthropoda; Insecta; Lepidoptera; Plutellidae. The record is from RefSeq and is a predicted model, not a curated record.
GUAAAAUUAUAUUUAACUAUUAUUUUAUUUGUACCAGCUAGCUAGAGGAUUUGCUUCUGUUUUUUUUUCUGCUUAAGAAUAAUUUCGAUGAAUGUGAAAAAUUGAGCUACAAUACUUGAUUUGCUUGACAAAUUCAAUACUUCAAAAUAUAACACCGUUGUUGUAUAUGGAUCUUUGUAGAUCGAAUUUACUAUUUACUAAGUAGUUAUUUAAGUUAACCUUCUUAAUAAUUGAUAAAGAAAUUAAAUUGAUUUGCGAAUAUACAUAAGAUUUUUCGUUUCUUAAUCAUUUAUGUUAAAAUAUAAUUUAAUCAGUGAUCAUGCAUAAGGUCUUAUAUUUACAGGGUGUUUCAUUGAGUCAAUCCAAUCAACAUUUGUUGUUUUUAUACCCCCUUUCGGCUUAGUAUACCACUUUACAAUUCCCUGAGAAAACGUAGUUAUGUAGGUAAUAGACUGUAUUUAUGCAUUUAACUUUUUUCUUAAUCCCUUACUACCGUCGUACUAACAUAUGUAUCUCUCUCCAUUAGUUGCAGUGUUGGGCGGCUGUCGGGCCACCUUCGCAGAGGUCGGGGGAAGAACCGCCCUCAUGAUCAACAGCUAUCGCUUCAUGAAGCACUACGUGAGCCGCACGGGCCGCACUAGAUGGCGUUGUCACAAGUCUUUCGCUAAAUGUCGUGCCAUAGCCAUCACGAAUGGCACCCACAUUGUCAAACUGAACGAGUGCCACAAUCAUUUGCCAGAUAAAAAAAAUGACAACCGGGGUUUUAAAAUGGAGCCGGUCUAGUACUUAUCCCGUUUGAGGGUCGGGUUCAUCUUCAAACCCUUCUAUAUUCCAAGAUAACGUCGUACCUCUUGUACUGGGCAAGGUAACCGGUUCACGAAAGGGUUUUACCUCAGGAAAACUAUUCCUACACACUAUGAUUGAUCACAAGAGCCCAUUACGUACAUCUAUUACGAAUGAUGCGUUUUAGCGUAUUUGAGAUUAACGCAUAAACAUUGAUGCACGAUUACCUACUAUAAACGGUCAAAGGUUAUUUAAUGAUUGGUGUCUGAGGUAAAACCUGAAUACCCAACCCAUGAAUAACCCUUUCAAAUGGGUAUUCGCUGUAAGGGGUAGCAGCUCUAAUUUUAUGGUCAGUUAUUUUCAAAUUCAAAGACGCAAUAAAUCUAUUAAAUCAACAGGUAAAUAUUUGAUUAAUUAGGCAUUAAAAGAAAAUGGUACAUGGAAAAGCUUUGCACAGCAGUGGGACACCUUAGGUUAUAUUUUAAAAAAAACAUGAUGUAUAACUUAUCUACCAUAUUUUAUUGUAGAGGUAGGUAGUGAGUGUAGUGAGUAUCUACUGGUUGUGGCAUCCUAUUGGCUGUUACAGUCAUGUGUCAUGUCAUGUCGUGUUCAUGAAUUUAAAAAUAACAGCAGUAUUGUCAAAAAAAAUAUUCAAUAGGUAUUAGGUGUUAGGUCCUAAUUUGUGUUAGUAAAAGUAAUUGUAACUUUUUGGAAAACACGCUUUCGAAUAAGUAGUUAUGUUUUUAUUGGGGCAGAUAUUUGUUUAAACACAGAUAUUUGUUCUCGGGUCUUGGAUGUGCCCGUAAAAUGGCAAUAGGCCCGCCCCCUAUUACAUUGGGACUAACAUAACAUUCUGGCGAAAAGUGGGUGCAGCAAUAUGCACCUCUGCCUACCCCGCAAGGGAGUACAUUAGUACAAGGCGUGAGUGCGUGUGUGUUUUUAUUGGCGCUCGUUAGCACAUUUGACAGUCAUGACCUAGGUACGAAAAAUAUGUGACUAAAGUAACACCUGUCUAUUAGUAUAGUUCUAAUUAUUACAGGAGUCGUGUCAGUCAGCUAUUGAAGCAGUAAUUUUAAAAUUCUAGUGAAUAUCCCAACCUAAUAGAUAUGUAUAUCUACCUCUUUUAAAUUAGUCCCAUAAAAUUUAAUAAUGUUUAAGAAAAAGUUACCACUUUCAUAAUUUACUUAAGAAAUAAGUAUAAAAAUGUGACUCGCACCAUCUCAUCUGUUUAAAAUAAUUUUUUAAUAAUUUAUUAAUUACCUAUUCAUAUUUAAAUAAAAUUAUACAUUAGUUAAAUGCCUUAUUUACUUUUUGUAUUAUUUGUGUGUGGUGCUGAUUUUUUUAAAUCUUUUUUGUUGCGUAUAAGUACUAACGUAAGUGCAUGCUUACUAUUGCUUACCUAAGUUACCCAGAAACAUGGAUUCUAUGCAACUUCAAAGUAAAAGCAAUACUAGUUUGUAGAUACCUAGUUAUUUUAAAUAAUAUGAUGUCUAUUUCAACACUUUUUACAACUAAUUUAACUGACUCAGCAGGUUGUCGAGGUGUUAUUUAACAUAACCUAUUAUUGAUGUAAUUUUUUACUGAUAAUUAAUGUACUUUUUGUGAAUAGAUCAUGUUAUGUGAAAGUUGUAUUAUUAUUUCUCCCAUCUCAUAAGUAGUUACUAAGUAAGUAUGUGAUUCAUUUGAAAAUCACCAUCGUGAUUAUUUCAGUCUGUUUAAUUUUUAUGUUUCUUUCUGUUUCCUUAACUCUACUUUGCGUACUUCACCAAAAAGGCUUCUACUGAAAUAUCAGCGCAGUGUCUUUUUAGCCACUUGAAGGAACUGCAUUAGCUCAAUCUGUGGAUCACUGUGGACAUAUUUUUGACAAUGACGACAAGUCUCUCUGUUUGCCUUCCUUCCUUCUCUUUCCACAGUCUCCAAAGUAUUUCUAAAACUUUGCAGUGUAGUAGGACUUUCACUACUUCUAAGUAAAUGUAUUAAAAAGCCAUUCCAACUGUUGUUCUUCCAGCCCGCAUCGUGUUCGAGGGCGACGGGCGGCCCACGCUGGUGGUGGGCGGGCACCCGUUCGGCCGCCACUACGUGUCGUCGGGCGGCCGCGUGCGCUGGCGCUGCCGCCGGUACAACCACCAGUGCAAGGCCGUCAUCAUGACCUUCGGACAGAACCUCAUCACCACCAAGCUCGGACAUAAUCAUUGAUUGUGAUCUUUUGAAGGAAGAAAAUGGAAAUCUGUCGCGUGUGGCAUUUUGUGCAACGAAUGAUGAAAGGGUUGAAUAGCAGCGGAGGUGCAUAUAGUGAUCGUGCAUAAUAGUUGCGGUUUUGAAAAAUACUUAAGUACUUACUGAUAAAAUUAUGAUGUUUCUCGUUUCUUUAUGUUGUUUUUAACAUACCACAUUGCAAAUGCACAUGAGUUCAAUUUAUAACAGCGCAUUACGAUAUUACCAACUAAAAAAGUAAAUCAUGUUUCAAAUUUUAAAUUAAAUGUUUAAAUUGGAGCUAUUAUUUUGGUGUGAGCAUUGUGUGUGUGAAACUUUUUAAUUGCUAGAAAGUGUAUUAAUAAUUACAGUUUUGUAUAAAAUUAUGCCAUUAGAAUCGCUAACUAUGUUUUGUCAAAACCUAAUAUAAUACAGAUUUGGAAAGAUGGACAUGGGUGGAUAUCAGUGGAUAAAAUAAUUAUAAAACCGUAAAUAAUAUAAUGAAUCUUUUUUGUACAUAGAUUAUGUUUUUUUUUAUUUUUUUAAGCAAUGUGAUCAAUAUAUUUACAGGCUUAAUAAAACGUAGAAGUGGCGCGGUACCAAAGCAAAUACUUUGCGUCAACGGUUUCGAGUUCGUGAAACACUACUUGUUUAGCGGCAAUGUAAUGCGUUGGAAAUGCAGACUUUAUCGAGGCCGUAAGUGCAAGGCAGCUGUCAUCACCAGAGCUAAUGAAGUCGUCAAGGUUUUUGGCGAACAUAAUCACCCUGUUUUACGGGAAGGGAAGCGAGGUGCAGACAGGGAGAAGAUCAAUCAAUCAAUCUUGCGGGAGCAAGGUGAACACCCUGUUUUACGGGAAGGGAAGCGAGGUGCAGACAGGGAGAAGAUCAAUCAAUCAAUCUUGCGGGAGCAAGGUGAACACCCUGUUUUACGGGAAGGGAAGCGAGGUGCAGACAGGGAGAAGAUCAAUCAAUCAAUCUUGCGGGAGCAAGGUGAACACCCUGUUUUACGGGAAGGGAAGCGAGGUGCAGACAGGGAGAAGAUCAAUCAAUCAAUCUUGCGGGAGCAAGGUGAAGAGACAGAGAACAUCAAGGAUCUUUCACUGGACGAUGACUGGUUAGAUUUAAAACCGUUACAUGAAGUUACAAACGAAAAUAGUAUAAUAUAACUUAAGACUUAUUCCUACUGUGAAUAUGACAUCACAACACUACGGUAGGUAUACAGUGAAACCUGGUUAAGUGGGACCUGGAUAAGUGAGAAACCUCCAUAGCUGGAACUCAUGCUGAGGCUCAUGCUUUGGCACUGAAUUACCUCUGUUAGUGGGACGAGGUAAGCCUCUAUAUCUGGGAUUUGUUCUUUCGAUUUAUCAUCAUAGUUACCUCUAUAACUGAGACAGCCAGUAAAUUUUAUAUGCAUAAACCUCUGUAACUGAGAUAACAUUGUUUGUUUUACUCAUUCUUAUUCUACCCACAAAUUCCACACGUAAUUCCAAGUACGUAAGUACAAAUUUUGAGCUUCAGUUCAGUUCAAUGUUAAACCUUCAAUUUACUAUCAUACAGAUAUUUAAAUUUGAAAAAUGCCAAAACGAAAGCUACAAUAGUUAUCAUUAUGUGAAAAACUAAAUUUAAUAUCCUUUUAUGAAAGUGGGAAGACACGCGUAGAAGUUGUGCUGAUUUUAAUGAAUGAAUAAAAAAAAAUAUUAAAUUAAUUUUAUUUAAUGAUUGAUCGCACCUGUAUUACUGAAAUAACCUGUAUUCUCACCUCUAUUAAUGGAACCCUCUGUAAAUGAGACAGAUAUUUAUUUAUCCCUGUAUAUGUGAGACACUGGGUAAGUGGAAUACCUCUUUAAGUGAAACGAUAUUGCAGGACCCUUGAAUUCUCACUUAACCAGGUUUCACUGUAUAUGAUCCUUACUCAAUUUCAUAUUUCCACCGAUAUGUGUAUUUGUAGAGAUGUGUAAAUAAAAUAAGUAACUUAAAUAUUA